This is a long non-coding RNA of Vigna unguiculata (cowpea), 724 nucleotides long. The record is from RefSeq and is a predicted model, not a curated record. NCBI's taxonomy places the organism in Eukaryota, Viridiplantae, Streptophyta, Magnoliopsida, Fabales, Fabaceae.
GUUAGGUCAGUUUCUCAUCUGUUCUGGAGAGGAAAAGUGAAAAAUAGGAAAGGAGUAAGAUGAUCGGAGCUUAGAGAGCGAGAGGUUCCAGUUCUUCCGCCGCACUUUUCGUUUUUUUGACGAUUUGGAAGCUGACAGGCUUGACUUGGUAAAUGGUAUAGUCAAAUACCUACCCACAAGCACCAGGAGCAAUACUUGCAGUUCAGUUAUUUCCACCACAAGAACCGUAGAAGAUGUGAACUAGUCUUAUCAAUCUGGCAGAAUUAGCCUUUACAGUUGAACACCUAGGCAGAUCCCCAAGAGGCACGCAGAUGUUACUUUGAUUUCUGUAUCUGUCACAUCACAUUGUUUGCGAGCAUCAGUAACAACAGAGAUAGUGAUCACACACACAGCUCUAGGCACCUCUGAUCUUUUUGCUCAGCACAUACAACACACAUAGUUACACAAACUCUCUCCAGAAGUCACUACUGUGGAACUCACACACAUAGGUACUCACAAAUUACUGCAAAUUUGAUAUAUUUUCAUUGCUUCUCUUCAGGUUAUUCUGAAAGUGUUUUUGUACAGAUAUUUCACCCUUUAUUCGAGGGUUACAACAUGUCAGUUUAGUUUUCUGUUAAAAUCCUCACUCUGUAAAAGAAGUUAUCACACUACAAAAUUUGCAUAAGGUUUUGGUCUAAUGGCAUGACUCUCUGAAUGCCUUACAUUUUGAUACUCUGGAAGCUUA